CGGGUGUUUGCGCAGGUCAGCGGUUUGGGGUGCAUCGAUCUGGGGGAUCGAAGGUCGGGAGUUCAAAUCUCCCCAGCCCGACCA
RNAcentral lists this transfer RNA (84 nucleotides) under Acidimicrobiales bacterium. RNAcentral describes it as "tRNA-Pro". The stretch from base 21 to 81 matches the Rfam family "tRNA". From Rfam's summary of the family: Transfer RNA (tRNA) molecules are approximately 80 nucleotides in length. Their secondary structure includes four short double-helical elements and three loops (D, anti-codon, and T loops). The record is from RNAcentral. Lineage: Bacteria; Bacillati; Actinomycetota; Acidimicrobiia; Acidimicrobiales.